GGGCUUUCUCUCUCCUCUCUCUUCUUUCAUAUUCUCUAUCUGUCUUUCUCUCUCAGGUUUCUCUCUCCUCUCUCUUUCUCUCUCCAGAAGGGCAAAACCCUAAAGAGCCGUUUACACCCCCCCAAUUUUCAUGGAUGACGAUGCACUAAACAUGCGCAAUUGGGGUUAUUAUGAACCGACCUUUAAGGGGAAUCUCGGUCUGCAGCUCAUGUCGAGCAUGGCAGACCGUGACACAAAGCAUUUCCUACCCGGGCGUGAUCCUAAUAACAUCAUGGUUGGUCCCAACGGAGCUUUUCAUCCACGUGAUUGUGUGGUUUCAGAUGCCUCUGUCCCUAUGAACUAUGUAAGAGACAGUUGGAUAAGCCAGAGGGAGAAGUUUUUGAACAUGUUACCUCCAAAUCCUAAUUAUGCUGUUCUCCCAGAAACAUCUGGAGCUCACUCCAUGCAAGUUUUACAGCCACCCAAUUCAUCUAGGGAUGAGAAGGUGCCUAGGAUUGAGGAGCCAAGCGUAAACAAGGAAGGGAAUCAGUUGAAGAAAAGACAAGGUGGGGGUACCCCAAAAA
This 563-nucleotide unclassified non-coding RNA is filed under the name Hevea brasiliensis (rubber tree). The record is from RNAcentral. Lineage: Eukaryota; Viridiplantae; Streptophyta; Magnoliopsida; Malpighiales; Euphorbiaceae.